UUUCCGUAGGUGAACCUGCGGAAGGAUCAUUAAAAAUGAAGACCCAUUAAAAUGGUGGUCUUAUUAAUAAUCCUACCCUUUGUGAAUUUGUUUGUUUUUUAAUUUGUGUCUUUCCCUGUUUUUUUGAUGGAGCUUGUAAAAAGGCAAAAUCAAAAUGCAGGGGAAUGGCAAAACCUUUUUUUAAAAUUAAACAUUUUGUAAUUCAUUUGUCUAAAAAUUAUUUUUAUAAUAUAAAAACAACUUUUGACAAUGGAUCUCUUGGUUCUCGCAACGAUGAAGAACGCAGCAAAAUGCGAUAAGUAGUGUGAAUUGCAGAAUACGUGAAUCAUCGAAUCUUCGAACGCAUAUUGCACUUUUUUGGUUUACUAAAAAAGUGUGUCUGUUUGAGUAUCAGUAAAAUAUUCUCAUAAAAACUUUUGUUUUUAUGGUUAUGAGUGUUUUACAACGAUACAAGUUGUUUCACUUUAAAUUCUUUGUCUAUUAAAAAAAUCAUUUAAAAACUGAUUUUUUUUAAAAUUGGAUAAAAUUUUCCCGUAAAAAGGAAUAACCUAAACAAUUUUAAAAUAUGAAUUAGUUUGAUUUUUUAAAAAAGACCAGAAGGAAAAAAGUAAAAAUUAACUUGAUCUCAAAUCAGAUAAGAGUACCGCUGAACUUAAGCAUAUCAAUAAGCGGAGGAAAAGAAACUAACUAGGAUUCCCUCAGUAACGGCGAGUGAAGCGGGAAGAGCUCAAAUUUGAAAUCUUCAAGGUUCUACCUUGACGAAUUGUAGUUUAAAGAAGUGUUUUCUGUUGGAGUUUUGGUAAAAGUUCUUUGGAAUAGGACAUCAUAGAGGGUGAGAAUCCCGUAUUUGACCAUUAUUUCCAACUUUGUGAUACACUUUCAAAGAGUCGGAUUGUUUGGGAAUGCAGUCCAAAAUGGGUGGUAAAUUUCAUCUAAAGCUAAAUACUGGCGAGAGACCGAUAGCGAACAAGUACCGUGAGGGAAAGAUGAAAAGAACUUUGAAAAGAGAGUUAAACAGUACGUGAAAUUGUCAAAAGGGAAGCGUUUGACACCAGUGUUGUUUUCUCGAAAAUCAAUUAAAAAAGAUUGGAUUUUGUGUUGUAUUGACUUCAUCAGCUUUCUGCACUUUUUUCUUGUCUUUUUUAAUGCACUUUUCGUUUAACAAGUCAACAUCAAUUUCUUUUGUUGUAAAAGAGUCAUUGGAAGGUGGCUUUCUUUUCGGAGAAAGUGUUUAUAGCCUUUGGCUUCUGCAAUCGGAGAGAUUGAGGUCUGCAGCGUAGAUCCUUCGGGGUUAGAUACAUUUGUGCUAAGUUAUAGCCUUUCAUAGACAACUUGUUGACUAUGAUCAGUCAUGUAGCUUACUCGCUUAUGCUAUUUUACCUACGCUUAGGAUGUUGAA
RNAcentral lists this unclassified non-coding RNA (1399 nucleotides) under uncultured Neocallimastigales. Its description in RNAcentral is "partial contains small subunit ribosomal RNA, internal transcribed spacer 1, 5.8S ribosomal RNA, internal transcribed spacer 2, and large subunit ribosomal RNA". The stretch from base 621 to 1399 matches the Rfam family "Eukaryotic large subunit ribosomal RNA", at positions 1 to 630 of the family's 3401-position model. Lineage: Eukaryota; Fungi; Neocallimastigomycota; Neocallimastigomycetes; Neocallimastigales. The record is from RNAcentral.